This 207-nucleotide ribosomal RNA is filed under the name uncultured bacterium. RNAcentral's name for it is "partial 16S ribosomal RNA". It matches the Rfam family "Bacterial small subunit ribosomal RNA", at positions 568 to 774 of the family's 1533-position model. The record is from RNAcentral.
CACGUAGGCGGAUCUUUAAGUCGGGGGUGAAAUCCUGGAGCUCAACUCCAGAACUGCCUUCGAUACUGGGGAUCUCGAGUCCGGGAGAGGUGAGUGGAACUCCGAGUGUAGAGGUGAAAUUCGUAGAUAUUCGGAAGAACACCAGUGGCGAAGGCGGCUCACUGGCCCGGUACUGACGCUGAGGUGCGAAAGCGUGGGGAGCAAACA